This 1535-nucleotide ribosomal RNA is filed under the name Aquimarina muelleri. RNAcentral's name for it is "bacterial SSU rRNA". The record is from RNAcentral. Lineage: Bacteria; Pseudomonadati; Bacteroidota; Flavobacteriia; Flavobacteriales; Flavobacteriaceae.
UGAGUUGAGUUUGAUCCUGGCUCAGGAUGAACGCUAGCGGCAGGCUUAACACAUGCAAGUCGAGGGGUAACAGGUAGCUUGMUAUGCUGACGACCGGCGCACGGGUGCGUAACGCGUAUAGAACCUACCUUAUAGUAAGGGAUAGCCCAGAGAAAUUUGGAUUAAUACCUUAUAGUAUUAUUGAAUGGCAUCGUUUAAUAAUUAAAGAUUUAUUGCUAUAAGAUGGCUAUGCGUUAUAUUAGCUAGUUGGUAUGGKAACGGCAUACCAAGGCUACGAUAGAUAUGGGUCCUGAGAGGGAGAUCCCCCACACUGGUAAUGAGACACGGACCAGACUCCUACGGGAGGCAGCAGUGAGGAAUAUUGGACAAUGGAGGCAACUCUGAUCCAGCCAUGCCGCGUGUAGGAAGACUGCCCUAUGGGUUGUAAACUACUUUUAUAGAGGAAGAAACGGCACUACGUGUAGUGUUUUGACGGUACUCUACGAAUAAGGAUCGGCUAACUCCGUGCCAGCAGCCGCGGUAAUACGGAGGAUCCAAGCGUUAUCCGGAAUCAUUGGGUUUAAAGGGUCCGUAGGCGGGUUUGUAAGUCAGUGGUGAAAGUUUUCGGCUCAACCGGAAAAUUGCCAUUGAUACUGCAAGUCUUGAAUCAUUGUGAAGUGGUUAGAAUGUGUAGUGUAGCGGUGAAAUGCAUAGAUAUUACACAGAAUACCGAUUGCGAAGGCAGAUCACUAACAAUGUAUUGACGCUAAGGGACGAAAGCGUGGGUAGCGAACAGGAUUAGAUACCCUGGUAGUCCACGCCGUAAACGAUGGUUACUAGCUGUUUGGACUUCGGUCUAAGUGGCUAAGCGAAAGUGAUAAGUAACCCACCUGGGGAGUACGUUCGCAAGAAUGAAACUCAAAGGAAUUGACGGGGGCCCGCACAAGCGGUGGAGCAUGUGGUUUAAUUCGAUGAUACGCGAGGAACCUUACCAGGGCUUAAAUGUAGAUUGACAGGUUUAGAGAUAGACUUUCCUUCGGGCAAUUUACAAGGUGCUGCAUGGUUGUCGUCAGCUCGUGCCGUGAGGUGUCAGGUUAAGUCCUAUAACGAGCGCAACCCCUGUUGUUAGUUGCCAGUGAGUAAUGUCGGGAACUCUAACAAGACUGCCAGUGCAAACUGUGAGGAAGGUGGGGAUGACGUCRAAUCAUCACGGCCCUUACGUCCUGGGCCACACACGUGCUACAAUGGUAGGUACAGAGAGCAGCCAGUGGGUGACCACGAGCGAAUCUAUAAAGCCUAUCACAGUUCGGAUCGGAGUCUGCAACUCGACUCCGUGAAGCUGGAAUCGCUAGUAAUCGGAUAUCAGCCAUGAUCCGGUGAAUACGUUCCCGGGCCUUGUACACACCGCCCGUCAAGCCAUGGAAGCUGGAGGUACCUGAAGUCCRUCWCCGUAAGGAGCGGCCUAGGGUAAAACUGGUAACUGGGGCUAAGUCGUAACAAGGUAGCCGUACCGGAGGGUGCGGCUGGAUCACCUGCUUUCUAAUCACCUCCUUCUA